UUUUUUUUUUUGAGACACAGUCUCACAGUGGCACAAUCUCAGCUUACUAUAACCUCUGCCUACUGGCUUCAGGUGAUUCUCCUGCCUCAGCCUCAUGAGUAACUGGAAGUACAGGCAUGUGCCACCACACCUGGCUAAUUUUUGUAUUUUUAAGAGAGACAGGGUUUUACCAUGUUGGCCAGGCUAGUCUUGAGCCCUGACCUCAAGUGGUCCACCUGCCUUGGCCUCCCAAAGUACUGAGAUUACAGGCAUGAGGCACCGCACCCUGCCCUUUCUGAAGAUACUAAUAGGGUUUUGAAAGCAUUUUCAUCUGCUUCACAGUUUUUCUCAAAUGCCUGCAUUGCCUUUCUUCUCUGCAGUUUCCUUGCUACUAGUCUGUUUUUCUUGGUAGAAAUUUUCCUCCUAUGUCAGGUUUGUAUCUGAGCUGUCCGUUUGUAUCUCAGAUUCAGCCACUAGCAAGACCAUGAAGAGCCUCAUGUGUUUUUGUGAGACUUGUUGACUGAUGUGCCCUACUAUAAAUUACUCGUUGAGAACCAGGCCACUUCUCAGAAGGACCUUCGAUAACAGGAUCUUCUUUUAAAUAUGUCUUUUUUCUUGGAUUUCGCAUGGUCCUCAGUCUCCUUCCCUCAAGGGCGUAGUGCUGCAUUUUGGUCACCAAGCAGAAAGGAGGUGGCGGUUUCAAUGUUCAGCGGGUUUUCACUUAAUGACCUAUUUCUAGUAAGGACUUUCAUGCUUGCCUUGCAGACCUUUGCUCCAGAAUGCAGGUGCCUCUGGGUGGGACUCUCCAGAGGAUGGCGCUCACUUCUUCUGCUGGGUUUGGGGAGGAACUGUUUCCUGGCUGGGGGAAGGGAUCCAGGUGGGCUAAUUUCUCUUUAUACAAAUUUUCAAUGAAUCUUUUUUUCCAUCCCCAUGCUACAUGCCUGCCUCCUUGAGUUGCUUGUCUCCAGUUCCCAAGGCCGGGUUCUGAGGUAAAAUUAGUCUAUCUCCUAACUUUACUUAUGACAGGCUCAAGUUUCAGAUUUCUUGGGUCUGCUAAGUCCAUGGCCACUUCUCCAUCUAUUUUCCAGUUUCUAAAAUACUGAUUCCCAUUUCUUCCUGAACCUUCUUUCACACUUUCUUUGUCUUUGCAGAUUUAUGCCUUUUUUUCUUUCUUCAUUGUCACUUUAGUAUAGUUUCAGAAGGAGGCUGACAUAAACAGGUGUGCUUAUAUAAUAGAUCUUCUUUUAUGACACUAUUGACUCGGAAAACAUAAGAACUAAAUCUGCUAAGUAAUAUGCAUCAUCCUUCUGGGUAAUGCUGUUUUUUGUCAAAUGCAAACUGUGAUGUGAAA
This 1330-nucleotide long non-coding RNA is filed under the name Macaca fascicularis (crab-eating macaque). Its description in RNAcentral is "lncRNA (ENSMFAG00000058898.1)". Lineage: Eukaryota; Metazoa; Chordata; Mammalia; Primates; Cercopithecidae. The record is from RNAcentral.